UAUCAUCUAUUAAUUAAAAUCAUUACAUCAAUAUGUGUUUCUAUAUGCUAUCAGAGUCGAAAAGCUUAACAGCAACAAUCCAGAUUUGAAUCUUCAUCAUGCCUUCAGUCCAUACUAUCAAAAUCAAUGAAACUACAUCAAUAAUAGUUCUCAAUGAUCAAACCUCAAUCAAACUCACUCGCUCCAACUACCAUGCGUGGAAGGUCUAAUUCAAUGCUCUCAUGGUUGAAUAUGACCUUCUAGGAUUUGUUGAUGGAACCAAAAACUGUCAUGCAGAACCUCAUAGUGACUAUACAUACUAGCAACGUCGAGAUCAGUUGAUACACAUGCCAUCAUAUCCUCGGUAGAUCUGAGUAUCAUCAUCAUGCUUGGUAAUGUGAAAACUUCCAAACAAGCAUGGGACAUUCUCACCAAGAUGUUUUCCAUCAAAAUUCACUCUCUCAUCAUGCAUCUCAAAGAACAAUUAUCUUGUUUCACCAAAGGUACACAGUCUGUCUCGGAGUACUUAAAAGCAAUCAAACCCAUGUAUGAUGAACUAGCCGUUAUCAACUCUCUACUGGAUGAUGUUGAUCUAGUCAUUCAUACACUGAACGUACUUGGACCUGAAUUCAAAGAAAAUUUUUGUUGCUCUUCAUACUCGUGAGAAUCCAAUAUAACUCGAUUAUAUCCACGACUUGCUGAUCGAUUAUGAAUGUCACCUCAAAAGAGAUGAAGAUAUAUCUCCUAUAGCUUCUCUCCAUGCAACAUUCAAAGGAAAACCACAUUAUCCAACACAUGGUCACACUCUUAAUCACAACAACUCAUUUCAACAAAAUAGAUCUACUUCUCCUGGAUCUUCCAAGAGAAUCAUUUGUCAAUACUAUGACAAGGUUGGACACACGGAAAAAGGGUGCUACAAACUUCAUGGCUAUCCACCAAAGUACAAUAUUGGCCCAUUAACUCAUUAUACUCGAGCACAUUCAUCUAGAAAUACACCAGAUUGAAUCAUGGAUUCAACAACUACUCAUGAUUUUACAAAUUAACUUGAAAAUCUCCAUCUGCAAAGUCCCUACACUGGAACAGAUCAAGUCAUCAUUGGCGAUGGGUCCAACAAAUGAUCGCAUCUUCGCGCUGCAAGGAUCUCACUUAAGGAUCCAACAAUUGAUCGCCUCUUUAGGCGACAAGGAUCCCGUUUAAUGAUCUAGCGAUUGAUCUCCUCAUUUGGAAAUACUUUCUUAAACUCUUAAGCUUCCUGUAAAGAAAUGGAUAGCCAAACAUACAUAUUUUAACAUAAGUAAAAGUGAAGCACUUCAUUAAAAACCCUCGCCCAUUAUAAGAGCAAAAAAGGGGAAAAAGUAUGUCCAAUAAAGUAACUUGUUCUUUAUAAUUGGCAAAGCUACAACACUGACCCAUAAAAAUAAAACAACCAACAAUAUUAAAAAAAACAAAUGGCGGCUAUGCUGACAUCUUCAGCGGGUAUAUCUCCUGAAUCUUCAUCCUUCCAUCUCUUUAGACGUUAGGUAGGAGGUUUCCUCACCCUUGUGGAAAUCCUUCAGUGGCUUUAUUCCCAAGCCUAUCUUUUAGGACUUCCCGCCUUGAGUGUGGAUUCUCCUCAACUUGAGGCUUUAUACAUAUCAUUUUUUGGCGAUCUCCUUGGAUAAC
Molecule: long non-coding RNA, 1641 nt
Filed under: Lathyrus oleraceus (garden pea)
Lineage: Eukaryota; Viridiplantae; Streptophyta; Magnoliopsida; Fabales; Fabaceae
Description: Pisum sativum (pea) long non-coding RNA (PSAT_LNC004255)
Source: RNAcentral